UAGGAAAAAUGUAAAUAAUAGAAGCUGCUAACUAUCUAUAAUAAGCGGUUAAAUUCCGUUAUUUCCUUA
Molecule: transfer RNA, 69 nt
Filed under: Phymatostetha punctata
Lineage: Eukaryota; Metazoa; Arthropoda; Insecta; Hemiptera; Cercopidae
Also listed under: 1 other name
Description: tRNA-Ser
Source: RNAcentral